Molecule: ribosomal RNA, 394 nt
Filed under: uncultured bacterium
Lineage: Bacteria
Description: partial 16S ribosomal RNA
Rfam family: Bacterial small subunit ribosomal RNA
Source: RNAcentral
ACACGUAGGGGGCGAGCGUUGUUCGGAAUCAUUGGGCGUAAAGGGCGUGCAGGCGGUCGUGCAAGUCCGGCGUGAAAGACCCCGGCCCAACCGGGGGGACGCGCUGGAAACUGCAGGGCUUGAGUACAGGAGGGGAUGCCGGAAUUCCAGGUGUAGGGGUGAAAUCUGUAGAUAUCUGGAAGAACACCAAUGGCGAAGGCAGGCAUCUGGCCAUGUACUGACGCUGAGACGCGAAGGUGCGGGGAGCAAACAGGAUUAGAUCCCCUGGUAGUCCGCACAGUAAACGAUGGACACCCGCGGUUUGGCCUGUAUGGCUGAGCCGCCAAGCGAAAGCGUUAAGUGUCCCACCUGGGGAGUACGCCGGCAACGGUGAAACUCAAAUGAAUUGACGGGG